ACAGAAUCAACAUAUGAUUCUUCAUUAGUCUAGAGACCCUGGGUUUGGGUCUGUAGUCAAUUCUUACUUUGUGUCAAAUAAUGUAUAAAACUUCUUCAUCGUUUGGAAGUGGCAAGUUGUCGUCGACGAAAGAAUAGAUUGCUUAAUAUUGGUUGCUUUUAUGGGGAAACCGCGGGGCAAAAGGUGGAUGAAAUUUCAUUUAAGUAGAAUAAUGGUUAAAGUUUAAGCAAUUCUGAA
Molecule: long non-coding RNA, 237 nt
Filed under: Actinidia chinensis (golden kiwifruit)
Lineage: Eukaryota; Viridiplantae; Streptophyta; Magnoliopsida; Ericales; Actinidiaceae
Description: long non-coding RNA (ACHI_LNC008211)
Source: RNAcentral